Molecule: long non-coding RNA, 1642 nt
Organism: Labrus mixtus (cuckoo wrasse)
Lineage: Eukaryota; Metazoa; Chordata; Actinopteri; Labriformes; Labridae
Exons: 7
Source: RefSeq, a predicted model, not a curated record
CACGUUUCCCGUGUUGAUCCUCAUGGAGAUUUUCUGAACCUGCUGCAGAUCAUCAUCGAACUGAGCCAGCAGCCGUGUGGAGGUGUACUGCUCGAACCGCAGGAGCUUACUGUUAUGAUCUUUCAUCAGACAUGUCAAAUUGACUUUUGUGUCACUGUAGGCCUACACAUGAUCAUAACAGUAUCCAUCUGCUAGGUGAUAUGCCUUGAUACGAUAUUUACAUUCACCAAAAUAAUCCAAGACCAUGAAUAGGAUACUGUUGCACAUGUAAGUGCACUCGGGUUGCAAUCAUGAAAUAUUUGUGCAUUUGACCUUCAGGGCCACCGCAGAAUCAGGUGAUCCAGGUGUUUCUCGGUCAGACUUACUGGUCUAUUCGGGCCUCAGUGAAGUUUCGUCCACUGUGCAGCCGGAUGUAGACGACCCCCCAGCGGAGGUACUGGUUCCAGGGCAGCGUGGCCGUGGUGCUGAAGAAGACUUUGGUCUGUCCGAGCUGAAGCAGAGUUUCUCUCCACCGGCUGAUAUCGUAACCUGCAGUUCAUGUCGGUGUGAAGAACGUCCACAAACAUGGCGUCCGAGGGGUCGAGCCUCUCGUCCUCCGCAGCGCUGGUGAACAUGGGACCUGCCGGGUCCAGACCUGGAGGACGGGAGGAGGUUUGCUCCCACGAAUCCCGCCAGGUGAGCUCCCAGACUGACGCCGAUGAGGUGAACUGAGCUCAGUGACGCUCCUUCCUCCUGCAGACGCAAAACAAACAUCAAAACUCCCUGUUACAGUCAAGGUUACAAACUGAAAAGACUUUGAAUCUACGCUUCAAUCCGCCUGACUGAAAAUCAAUCCUCAGUCUGCUGUAUGACGCUGAGUAAAGACGUCUUUAGCUCGAUGAUGUGAGGAUUAAGAUGCCGAUCAAGAAACCUCGAGCAGAACCAGACUCACGGCCAUCUGCCAUGACCGGAGGGACCCAGAAAGUGGGAUGGGGGGGAAUGACGGAAAGAGCGACAUGGAUAGAGACAAACUAACCGAGCAACAACCACUGAUAACACAGACUUAAGGCGAACAUUGUGUUGCUGUUGUACACAAGACUACAUGGAGUGUUUAGUAUCGAAGCCACCAGUGGUUCCCAGUAGCUGCUGGAGGUUCCUGCUCUGCAAUUAUCUCACACAGGAGUCCCACACCGCCCUCAAUAGGAUCAGGCUGCUAUAAAAAACACCUCAUCCCUUCACCACCCGCCCUGCUGUGAAAACAAGAGACUGAAAUGGCCUCAAUCCAGCCCCAAACACACACAUUUGUAACCCUACUGAUGACAAGCUAGGAGACGGGGUGGUCUUUACUUACGUGUGUGUUUAUUCUUACACCAACAGAAUGAAACAGAAGCAAGCUCUUUUAUUUUAAACUUCAAUGUGGAGCAACUUUAAACAAUCUGUCUUUUCCCAAGCUUCACUAAGCUGUUUCUGUCUGUAGUCAUACACUUGUUUUGUCUUUUUGUGGGCACUUUGAGUGCAACACAGUUAUUUAAUCUUAGAUUCUUGCAGGAACAAUCCCUUCUAUAAGAGCUGAACUCUAAGCAGACUUGAGCUUUCACAAUGAGCAAAGUUCUUAUUUUCUUUAACUAAUAAGCAGAAUUAUUGUUGUUUUUUCCUACCUUUG